RNAcentral lists this ribosomal RNA (306 nucleotides) under Triticum aestivum (bread wheat). Its description in RNAcentral is "partial small subunit ribosomal RNA". Lineage: Eukaryota; Viridiplantae; Streptophyta; Magnoliopsida; Poales; Poaceae. The record is from RNAcentral.
AUGACGCCAUGUGUUGCAUCAUAUCGAGCUGACCUUGGACUCGUAUCCCAGAUUGGUUCACUCCAUGCCACACCAACAACAGCCGUGUAUCAAGACAAUAAGCUGCGAUUGCGCAAGUGGAAAGGCAUUGGCGGGCAAUGGGGCGACCAGUGCAGACCUGAAGAGAUCAAGUGUGUCCGGGUGAAAUGGACUUGCAACAACAAGCACAUCCUGUGUGGCUGGGCUGGCACCUUGCGUAGCGGCAAGCCUGUCAAUGAAUUCAUUGUACGAGACUCCAACAUGUUCAUCAAGGCGCCAAAUAUCUGA